Long non-coding RNA from Zingiber officinale, 670 nucleotides. RefSeq lists it as uncharacterized. Lineage: Eukaryota; Viridiplantae; Streptophyta; Magnoliopsida; Zingiberales; Zingiberaceae. The record is from RefSeq and is a predicted model, not a curated record. The transcript is spliced from 4 exons.
CCCAUCGCCGAUCCUUCUCUUUCCCCGAUCUCCUCCCCUCUCUGCCCCGACGCGAUCUCGAUCUCCCCUCUCUUCCUUCUCUGUUCUCUCUCGCGGACGAUCGGCGCCGACGGGAGCAAGGCUUCAGCUCCGGUGAUCUUCUCUGCCGGCAGCGAUCCUUUAGCUCAGAUCCAGCUGAAGCCUUCUCCUUCUCGCUCUAAUCUCUUGGUUCUCUCACGGGGACGAAUCGACGCCGAGCGUGGACGAACCGACGCCGACGAUCGCCGGUGUAGGUUCAUUGCCGGUGCUUUGCAUUCGGAUCAUUGCUUCGUGUGAGUAGAGCUUCGAUCAGGAAGGGGGUCCUAGCCCUAGCCUCGAUCCUCCUCUGUUCUUGGUGUUGUGCCCUAGCUCUGAAGUUCGCCUCCUUGUCAGAGCAAUGGGGUUCCGACAAUGAGACAGCGAGGGUUACGGGAUUGGAGAAGAAGAAGAGUGAGGUUUUGUUCUGUGGGGAUUUGAUUGAAGAGGUGUUUAUUGAGCUGUGGUUUGUGCUUGAUCAGUAGUGUUUCCGUGCCAGCAGCAAUCUCAUCUAACAUAUUGCUUGGUUUCAGCAAUCCACAGUAGCUUGAUCGAGGACUCUGAUUCGAGACGGGCGUCUCGACUUCGGAUUUGGAUUGAUUGUACCUUCUAUUUG